GCGUAAUAGCAAGUGUACAGUAUUUUAUAAUGUAUUGCAUUGAGGGCUAAGGAGGGCGUGGAAAAUAGUGUUGCUGGAUGUAGCACACAGUUCCCUUCCAAAACUAAUUUAAUGUACGUAGCCACUCUCCUGAGUAUUUGUUAUAAUGCGUGUUAAUGUUUUUUGCGCAAUAAGACAAUAUUCUAUAUACAGUGAUUUGCGUUAGCUGUAUUUAUUUUAACUAUGAUUUUGUAAAACACCAUGCAAAUGGAAAUCAAAUAUGAGCCCUUGAGUAAACGUGUAAACGUACAGUUUUUAGGCACUUUUCGAGUACUACAUCGCGAAGUUUUAUUGUGAAAUGUUUUUUAAAAAAAAACUGUGACCCGGAAGUGGUUUUUUAUUGUCGACGACCCUUAUGUAUAAGAAGGGACUGGGGCAGCUUCUGAACAUUUAAGCCAUCACAUGAAUUUUACUGAUGGACAGAAUAUUUCCCCAGUUGUUGCAGUGGCCGGCUGAGAGACUUGCAGCGUUCAGGUUUGUGUCGGUAUGUACCUUACAACUUCAGCUUUCGUCUUUCUGCUUGAAGUCGUACUGGUAGCAUAGCUAGUUUAUUUAACAAAUGAUUGUCAACUCCUAUAAUUUACAGCUAAACGUCUUCUUCAAAGUUACAGUCGAUGUAUUUUAUAUGUGGGGGGGGGGGGGAAAUGGCAACGCUUACGUUACCGUGUUAUUUUUGUAAUUUUAUUUUGUCACGUGUUGUGAAAUGAGAAGUUUUCAAAGAUGGCGCGGGCAUAAAUCCUGUGUUUGCUUUGCCUUUUGUUCUAAGCCUUGCUGCGACUUCAGUAGUUGUUCAAGUGGAUGGGAUUAAUAGGACCGUCUUUAACGACGUGUGUUAGGAUUUGAUCUGAUCAAGUUAAUCUACUCCAUUUAUUUCGAAUUGAGAUCUUAGCUUUAAUCAGCAUGUAAUCUGUGAUUCCAGAACAGAUCUUUGAUCUUGGUUUUCACAAUGAUGAACGUAAGGAAUUCAGAAGUAGGCCCUACAGAAAAGCCUAUUUUUGAUAAGGCCAAGCUAUGCAAACCUGUUUUUUCAGGUCUAACGUAAGACUUUGAACGUUCUAGGGCAAUGACAGUAUAAAAACAUGCCAUUCAGUUUUAGCGAUCUUGUUGAUGAUAUAAUCAACAUCGGAAAACUAGGUUUAAAAAUGUCGCUACUUGACAAUCAAGAAGCUAGAGCAGCGAUUGAUUUUGCUCUUCUCAAAUAAAUAAAUUAAUGCUUUGAUGUGCAGAUUGGUUCCAAAAUGUGUUUAAUCAGAUCAGAUAUCCUACCCAUGAUAACUGAGAAAUAUGGUGGCUUUAGUCACUAAAAACAUGAUGGCCCUUGUGACUCUGUGUGACUGAGGGAUGCUGUCCAAGAAUAGAGAUGCGUAUUGGAAGGAAAUCCUGAUUUAUUUCAAACCUUUCUAGUCAUCAUAGGAGAAAUGAAGUCCCCCAUAUCUCAGUCCAGCGCAAACAGACUUAAUGGUGUUUUAUAGUGCUCCUGGGGGUUGACUCCAAGAUGCCAUUUAUUUUACAAGGGAAUAAACGGGUGAUGGUAUUAUGCUUUUUAGCCGUCACUGCAGAUUUGGAGUUUCAACCAUUUAAAGCAGAAUUCAGAGCGCUGGGUUGGAUUUUUUUAAUGCAAAUCACGAUGCCCCUCUGUAGAGCCUUAACUUAGAAGGAAAAAUGUGUUAGACAUGGAAAUAAGACACAAACCCCUUGGUAACAAGUCCGGGGAAUGGCAGGAGGAUGGGCGAAACCUUGUUGACCCAAAUGUGCGCUUGUUUAUUUACCAUGCUCACCUUGUGGACACACGCAGACUUUUUCUGAGCUGACAAAUGCACAUUUUUUUGGUUGCUCCUAGCCCUUCCUGAGAGUACAGGUGCAGAUUUCAUUUUCCAACAGGACUUGGCACCUGCACACAGUGCCAACGGUACCAGUACCUGGUUUAAGGACCAUGGUAUCCCUGUUCUUAAUUGGCCAGCAAACUCACCUGACCUUAACCCUAUAGAAAAUCUGAGGUAUUUUGAAGAGGAAGAUGUGAUAUGACAGACCCAACAAUGCAGAAGAGCUGAAGGCCACUAUCAGAGCAACCUGGGCUCUCAUAACACCUGAGCAGUGCCACAGACCGAUCGACUCCAUGCCACGCCGCAUUGCUGCAGUAAUUCAGGCAAAAGGAGCCCCAACUAAGUAUUGAAUGCUGUACAUGCUCAUACUUUUCAGUUGGCAGUAUUGGUCUUAAGUAAUAUUCAAAAUUUCUGAGAUACUGAAUUUGGGAUUUUCAUUAGUUGUCAGUUAUAAUCAUCACAAUUAAAAUAAAUAAACAUUUGAUAUAUAUUAGUCUGUGCAAUGAAUAUAAUAUACAAGUUUCACCUUUUGAAUGGAAUUACUGAAAUCAACUUUUUGAUGAUAUUCUAAUUUUAUGACCAGCACCUGUGUGUUAUAUGACGCUGCCAAUCAACUUUAACAGCAAGAAGGAAUCAUUAAAAUGUUUUGUUUUCCAUUACUUAGUUAGGGUUUGUGGUCCAGAGUGGUGUUGGAGUGUUUAAGACCAGGGUUGUUCAACGCUACACUUUGAUGCCGGUUCGGGUCCAUCUUUUCACGGCAACACUAAUAUUGGUCUUAUUUAGACCUGGGACUUCAGGUGGGUGCCAUUAAUGAGAUUAAUUGCAGGCUCCGGGCUUCAUAGUGUAGUGUUUCUUAAUUAUGGUCCUGGGGACCCCAAGGUGUGCAUGUUUUUGUUGUAGCCCUCGAUUGAUGUAAUCAACCUAUCAAGUCUUUUAUUUGACUGAAGUGUUAGUGCUGGGCCAAAAACAAAAUCAGCAGGACCAAGAUUGAGAGACAGUGUCAUGGGGUAAGACAGUGGUUCCCAACUACGGUCCUCAAGUACCCCCAACAGUACACAUUUUCAUUGUAGCCCCAGCCAAGCACACAGCUGAUUCAACUUGUCAACUAAUUAUCAGGCUUGAAUUAGGUGUGCUUGUCCAGGGCUACAACAAAAAUGUGUGCUGUUGGAGGUACUUCAGGACCGGAGUUGGGAACCUCUGGGGUAAGAGUUCAAUUAAAAUUGUAACCCAUGCUUUAGACCAGGGGUGUCAAACCGGUUCCACGGAGGGCUGAGUGUCUGCAGGUCUUUGGGUUUUCCUUUAAAUUGGUUCCCAUUUCAGACCUAAACAACCAGGUGGGGGUAGAAACUAACCAAUUAGUGAACUAAUUAAUCAAUCAGGUACAAGGUGAGAGCGAAAACCUGCAGACACUCGGCCCUCCGUGGAACCGGUUUGACACCUGUGCUUUAGACGUUCAACUUCAGGGCUAUUCAAAUCCAGUCCAGGAGGCCUGAAAUACUUCUGGUUUUUGGUUCUACCUACUAGUUUAUUGCCUUCACCUGGCAUCUCAGGUCUAAAUCAGUCCCAUAUUGUUAGAGGAUAAAGCCAGGAAUGUUUCGGCCCUCAAGGGCUGGAAUUGAAUAGCUCUGUACUACUUUCAAUUUUUUUUUAGUCUCUCUUUUUUGGAAACUGCCCUUUUACUGUGUGCUUAUAUGCAUAAAGGUGUAUAAGAGACAGUAUUCAAUGAUGUUGUGUGUCAAAUGUGAGUAACGUUCAGUCUAUUUUUUUGGAUGAUCUAAUUAAGUCAGUGUUUCUUAAUCUUGGUCCUGAAGACUCCAAAGGGUGCAAGUUUUUGUUUUACUACAUGCACGUACAAAUGUGCAAAGAACCAAUGUUUACCUUGCAGAUGGUAACUUAUGAGCAGGCCAUAACAACAAAUGGGUGCUGAACCUCUAAAUCAGUGGUUUUCAAACCUCUCCUAUGAGGAACCCCAGACCUUCUACAUCACAGGUGUCGAACCGGUUCCACAAAGGGCCGAGUGUCUGCAGGUUUUUGGUUUUUCCUAUAAAUUGGUUCCUAGUUCAUACCUACACAACCAGGUGAGGGUAGAAACUAACCAAUCAAGUACAAGGAGAGAGCAAAAACCUGCAGACACUCGGCCCUCCGUGUAACCGGUUUGACACCUCUGUUCUACAUCUUUGCUGUAGCUCUGAACUGGCACAGCAGAUUCACUAAGGGCUUUAGGAUUGGUAGACAAGUUGAAUCAGGUGUGCUAGCUCUGGAAUAGUUAAUAUGACCGAACUGGCUUUGGUCUCUAGGAGAGGUUUGAAAACCACCGCUCUACCAGGACAUUCAACCUCCUACCUCAUCUGGUGCAUUGUUAAAUAGGCCUCCUUUACUUGACAAGUUGGGUUAUUUCUGAUUGCCUACAUAAAAUAGGCUACUACCUAUUUUACAGUAUCCAUCUUAAUUGCUUUUUUUUUUUUUACUGGCUAGUUGUUAGUGAUUGAAGCUGGUAAUAGUCCAUAGAGAAAUGUGUAAAGAAAAUGAAGUCUGUUAAAUUGUUGCUUCAUCUCCACAGUCAAGUCCUUCACUGAAAUGCUUCUUGAUCUCCCAUGUUUUCUGCCUGUAGUGCAUAUCCCAACCAGUCAGAUGUUCUUGACUGGGGACAAUGAGCCUAAUUGCAUGAUGACAGUGCUGGGGCUGUGACAGAAAUGGAUUGAUUUACUGGUUUACUAGGGUGCCGUGUGUCCUGGGUGCCCUUGAUCACAUGGGGGCGGGGCGCGCCACUGAUUCGGUUUGUGCCGUAGCAAGUCAUGGAUCCCUCAUCCCUGCUGUAACUGACUCCCUGGGUGGAUCUUGGCACCUUGCUUUACACCACUGGCUGGUUCUGAAGACUUGGACCGGAUGAGUAAAGAAACGGACCCGGAGUAACCGCUCAUGUUUUGGCUCAUGGCUAUACUGUAGUUUCAAUGUUCUUGUCAACCAAAUACUUAAUAAAAAUCUGUGCGUUAAAGUUCUUGUCUACUUUGUGAAUGGGACUGUGGAAAGCUGCACUGCAACCAUGCAUAUCUUUCAUUCAUGAUGGCGUGUCAUUACAAUGACCUUGCCUGGUGUUAGGUGACAACUUGUCUCACAGCCAAUUUACACAUUCAUUGGAGUGUAUUUCUGGAACAUGUUCUCUUGGUGGUGGGAAUGAAUAAAUGCACUUCUCAAAGUUGAGGAUUUGUCUUACAUGUCUGCAUUUUAUUUGUCAAUAACAGCUGUCAACUCAAUGUAAACCUGUUCAUUGAUUUCUCUCAAAGGUAAUUGGCUUGGUUCAG
This is a long non-coding RNA of Esox lucius (northern pike), 5164 nucleotides long. The record is from Ensembl. NCBI's taxonomy places the organism in Eukaryota, Metazoa, Chordata, Actinopteri, Esociformes, Esocidae.